GGCUGCCUGUGGUCACGUGUUUUCUAUCAGCGGUUCUCUCGAUGCUUGGCUUCGGGCUGAUGGGCCUCAUUUCUGCUUUUCUGUCAGGAAAUGGCCACACUUCCGGAGGAGAAAGUCUAAUUGGAGGUCAGCUGUGACCAGCAGUGCUGUGGAGUUCGAAAAGGCACGGAUGGAGGGCUUAAGGGAGAAAUGUGCCAAGAGGAAGGCCUGUCAAGCCAACCCUGACUGGGACCGCCUUGCGUCUGGAAACCGAUGUCCUCACUGUGAGAGAACAUGCAGAUCAAGAAUAGGUCUCUUCAGCCAUCUAUGGAUCCAUCCCCAAGAUAGCGAAGAUGGAGGACCAUCAUCCUCGAACUACAAGGGAUCGCCUAAGUAAGUAAGCAUUCAGUAAAAAAUUAAUCACCAUCAUUAUAAAUGUGUGAUCGGAAUGGCUGUGCUGAGAGAUGCAGAGAACUCUGAGUAUUUCCAGACAAGAUUACACCAGAGGAAUAAAGGUUCCUUCAGCCCAAAUGUACCAAAGAAUAUAACCUUCUGUUAAUUGCUUGCAUGGCAUGCUUCGGCGUACAGACGUAUGGAAUCCCACCAUGCUGUUUCCUUUCCCUCCAUCUUCUGAAUGCACCAUAAGCUUUGCCUCUGCAUAUAUAUAACAAGCAGCAGAUCCUGGGGGACAUGAGCCUCUUUGGGAAAUGCCUGCCAGUGACAGAGUCUGCACAUGGAUUUCAUUUGGGACAUAUGGCUGGCUGGCUUGUGGCUUGUUUGUCUGGGAGAUCUGAUCUCCCUCCUCCUUGAAGGAAAAGGGUGGUCAUGAAAGGGAGGAGGAAAAGCAUGAGCCACCAGGAAGCCUCCUCUUGCACGCCAGAUUGCUCUUGUGGUUUCCAUGCCCUGCAAAAUAUUUGAUUUUUAUAAAGCUGCAGGCAGGAAGUUACAAAAAAGCCAAAAUCCAACUGAGGAAUGGCUGAUCCAGACUUUCCAUUUGCUUCCUAUUGCCCUCGGGGCUCAAUUUAAGAUGCAAACACUUAACAAUUCAGGGCCAGCUCCAAACAUCUUGCUGCCUGAAGUGGAGUAGCAAUGCUUUCCCCAGGACCCUCAAUACACAUUCAAGUUCAAGUAUAUAAUUGUCAAAAACAACCAAGUCAUUUUGACACAUGAAGCCAAAAACCCCUGUUCCGAAUCUCCUCCCAUCCUUGGCACUGACAAAAACAAUCAUUCACAAUUGGUUGUCCUUUUGUGACACACCUCCCUCCCUCUCUUGAUGUUCAGCACAGUUGUCUCAGGCCCCAUCUACACUGCCAUAUAAUGCAGAUUGAAUUACAUUGAACUGGAUUAUAUGAGUCUACACCAGGCAUGUAGCUGGAGGGGGCGAGCGGAGAUAGGGGUUCACCCCCCCCCCAUUUUUCAGGUUUUUUUUAAACCUGGUUUACUCAUGAAUUUUAACUGGUUAACCAAAUCCCCAUGAGUGUCCACUGAAGUUUAUCAGUGGAGCCUGAUUUCUAAAAUAUUUUGCAUUAUGAAACUACUCUUUAUGAUUUGCUAAAAAAAAGUUUCAAGCCCCCCCCCCCCCCCCGAAUUUUUUUCUGGCUAUGGCCCUGGUCUACACUGUAAUAUAAUCCAGUUCAAUGUGCAUUUUAGUGACAGUAUAGAUCAGGAAUGGGCCUACUUUGGCCCUCACUCAAGGUAUUUGGGAUGUCAACUCCCAGAAUUCCCAAUAGCCAGUAGGCUGUUAGGAAUUCUGGGAAUUGAAGUCCAAAACACCUGGAGGGAGAGCCAAAGAUUGCCCGUGCCUGGUAUAGAUUGUGCUUCUUAGUAAUGCUUGCUAUAGAUUAUUUUGUUCAAGAUGACUUUGUCCAACUACUGUUUUAUUUGUUGCCCUCAAAGAGCCGAAGGAGACGCAGUGUGUUAAAGCGUUGAGCUGCUGAACUUGCAGACCGAAAGGUCCCAGGUUCAAAUCCCGGGAGCGGAGUGAGCGCCCGCUGUUAGCCCCAGCUCCUACCAACCUAGCAGUUUCAAAACAUGCAAAUGUGAGUAGAUCAAUAGGUACCAUUCCGGCGGGAAGAUAACAGCGCUCCAUGCAGUCAUGCCGGCCACAUGACCUUGGAGGUGUCUACGGACAACGCCGGCUCUUCAGCUUAGAAAUUGAGAUGAGCAUCAACCCCCAGAGUCAGACAUGACUGGACUUAACGUCAGGGGAAACCUUUACCUUUUUAGCUAGAUCUAUAUAGAUGGGCAGUAGUGAGAGAGUCUUGCAUUACAAACAAUAAAGACGUAUGGUAUCUUCAGCCAUCAUGCUUCUUGGCAUAUUCUUUCAAAGAAGACUAAUCCAUAGCAACACAAUUGGACCUGACAAGCCUUACAACCUGGUGUGAUUUCUUGAUUCGGGAAUAUUGAGUUAACUUCUUCAUCUCGCCAGGCACGCGGAUCCAUAGUCAGCCUGUGGCCAGUGCCAGUAUCCCUUAUUGGGACUUGGCAUCUGCACUUCAGGUUUUGCCAUCCGUGGCCUGGAUCUCACCAUCCACGGCUGCUUUGAAUUGCUCUAUUUCAUGUGCAACCCACCCUUUGAAACAUUGCAGUGUCCCAAUCUGAAUUCCCCACGGAGACAGUGAGUCACUGAAACUCAGUCCUUCCUCUUUCUGGGAGCUGUGACCUAGGAGAGGCACCUUUCAGUUCUGCUUUAUGUGGUGGAACUGAGACCUGGACUGACCGUCCCUCCCACCUGCACACCUGGCCUCACAAUGUCACUUCUCCUUUAGCUGCGCCUCAUACUAAAAAUAAACCUGGCUCAGAAAGAGGCUGCAAGGGGGCAAGCAAAAGCCCUGGGGAAUGUUUGCUCAUUUCAGGAUGCGUUGGGCUCUUUAAACAAACCCCCACAUGGGCUUAUUUUUAAAUAUACAAGCAGCAUAAUGUGGGGAAUAUAUGAUUUCCUUGUGAUUUCUGCAAGGGCCAGCCAGUUAGCAUUACAAACAGUUUGAUGGAAGGUUCGAAAGAGAAAGGACCGACCAAUCAGUAAUCUUUGGCUGGAAUCAAGAACUAGUUGAUUUUGGCCCUGAUUCAUCAUGGAAAUAUGCCUGUCUGAAAUUGUUCGUGUUUUUUUUUUUGCAAGACUUCAGAACCAUAGAAGGCUUGUUACUGCUGAAUAUGGGCACCAUUGCUUCUGCCCUAAAAAUAUCUCAGCUGCCAUCUACAAGCAAUGAGAUGACAAAGAGUGGAAAUGUGGAGAAACCUGGCAAGAAAACAAAUGAGAAAAACAAGCAACACAGGAAGAAAAGGCCACCUUGUUUGCUAUAUCAGAAAAGGAGAAUAUUAAGAAUAGGCUAGAGCAACACAGGGUGCACUUCAGCUAUCUAUAUAUAUAAAUGAAUGAUGGCAUCACGGCGACCCACAAAACAACAAAACCACUGGCCCCCCAACCUCGAAAUUUGACAACACAACCCAUCAUCCAUGCCUCUAGGUUGAUACAACAAAAAGAAAAGAAAAAUAAAGUCCUAAUUAGAGGGAGAGCAAUAAUUGUUUUUAUCCAAUUGCUGCCAGUUUAGAGGGCUAAUCUCUGCCCACUUGGUCUCCUAGCAACCAACUCAGCCAAGGGAGAGCCAGGGUUCAGUUAGGGGACAGGCAGAUUUAGGCCUCACUUAGGCCUCUUCCACAGAUUAUCUAAUUUGCACUGGAUUAUAUGGCAGUGUAGACUCAAGGCCCUUCCACCAUACUUCGCCACAGCAACGUGUGGCCAGGCACAGCUAGUUAGAAUAUAUAUGGGAUUUUGUAAACUGGGAAUGACAUGGGGAGUCCUUCUCUUUGGAGAAAUAUGUUAGUAGUUAUUACAUACAUUUUCCCACAGAAAGGUAGUGCCCAUUAGAGUUGUGCGCGGAACCGUUUUCCUUCAUUUGAUCCAUUCUUUCCAAGCUUGAGGUGCUCUUACUGCCUAUUACAGGGAAAACCAGCUGAUCCCUAAUCCAUCUAAAAUGCAGAUGUGUGCUUUUCACCUUAAGAACAGACAAGCAUCUCGAGCUCUGAGGAUGACCUGGGAAGGAAUUCCUCUGGAGCAUUGCAGCACACCCAAAUACUUGGGAGUCACUCUGGACCGUGCUCUGACUUACAAGAAGCACUGCUUGAAUAUCAAGCAAAAAGUGGGUGCUUGAUCUUUCGGCGCCCCAGAGCAAAAACAGAUAUCUGCCCUCCUGAUUUUGGAAGGCUCCCAAAAAACAGAUCGGUGCUCCCACCGAAAGCCGGAGCAUGAAACAGGUCAAGGUUUACCCUGAAAGCACAACCCUAGUGCCCAUCACAAUGUGUUAUUAUGUUCUUUCUUUCAUCUCUUUUCACCCUAAGUCACUUUGCUACUCUGCUGCUGAAUACACAUGCCCAGUGUGGAAUAUAUCUCACCACAUUAAAACAGUGGAUGUGGCUCUUAAUGAGACAUGCUGCAUUACCACAGGAUGUCUAUGCCCAACACCACUGGAGAAAUUAUACUGUUCAGCCGACAUUGCACCACCUGACAUCCGCUGGGAAGUAGCAUCCAAUAAUGAAAGGACCAAGGCAGUGACAUCUCUGGUCCAUCCUCUGUUCGGAUAUCAAGAAAUAGUUUUCUAAGAUCUACAGAGAUACUCACAGGAACACUUCAAUGCCAGUGGAAAGGAAGCCAAAACUGAGUCAUCAAGAAACUAGAGCUCCAGUUGACCCAGUUGAGCAGGGAAUACUGCCCAAUUGCCUGUUGUCCCACUUCUAAAAUGUCCCCGUUCCUCUCUUUUUCUGCUACUUUUCUCUUUUGUGCUUUGCUUGCUUCAUUUGCCACAAAAAGAGUCCAAUAUAUAACAAUACGUUGCCCUCCGUUAGCUCAGCAGAGGGAAAGAGAGGAGGGAUCUUCCCAUUCCCAGUUCGCUCAGGUAAAAGCAAACUGCUGCAGAAGACUCACUCUGAAGAAAAGUGCUUGGAAUAUUACCUUUAAGGGCCCGGGCUGUGGCGCAGGCGGGAGAGCAAGCCAGCUGCAAUUAACUGCAAUGAAUCACUCUGACCAGGAGGUCAUGAGUUCGAGGCCGCUCAGAGCCUAUGUUUGGUUGUCUUUGUUCUAUGUUAAAAGGCAUUGACUGUUUGCCUAUAUGUGUGUAAUGUGAUCCGCCCUGAGUCCCCUUCGGGGUGAGAAGGGCGGAAUAUAAAUACUGUAAAUAAAUAAAUAGAUAAAUAAAUAAAUAAAUAAGACACAAUGAAGCCACCCCAUUACUAAGUACGAUGACCUGGGAGAAACCAGAUAUGCAUUUGACAAAAGCUUUCUAUAUGCUCCUGUUUUGUUCCAUUGUCCUAGUAUGUGUUGCCCGAGCAUGGCUGGUUAUUUUCUUCAUUGGGUGAGUUGUGUAUUGCAUCUCCUGCCAGUUGUGCAGGAGACGCAAGCCGUGCACGAAGGCCUUGAUCUGAAGGAUUAGGAACAAGCCUUGGGCUUAAUCCUUUUGGAGAUUGCCGUAUCUCCUCCCUCUCCCACAUAGCUAGCAGCAAGCACAGCCACAGCUGCUGGAAGCUUAAUUUGAAGGCCUGGUCAAAUCUCUUUGAAUCUGAGAUAAGAAGUUGUAAAAUGUAGAUCUCGUGAUAAUGAGGUGACCUAGUCCACUAGUUACAAGGAAGUGCAGGGGAGGCAUUGUGCAGUGAGGAACCACAGAAAGUGCAGCUUGUGGAGUCGAUGUGGGAGAGGUUACUAACAAGAUGGUUUUUUUUUUUAUGUUUAUUACUUUCUAAUUACACAAUUUUAUGUUAGUCCUUUGUUUUUUCUCCUGCCCCUCAGCCUCAUUUCUUCCCACUGACUUCUCAGGUGAACAUGCUGUGAGGCUGGCAGCAUGUUAAUAGUGUCCUACAACUGCAUUAAAACACAAUCCACCUGGUUUAAGAACUGUUCCUUGGCAAUGUCCAUGCAUAGUCCUUAAGGUGGAUGGAAGACAUCACGGCAGAAAGCUGGGUGUUUUGAAAGUUCAGGUGAAGAACUUGUAGUAGACAACGCCUCCCAGGAUGGCAA
This is a long non-coding RNA of Anolis carolinensis (green anole), 5986 nucleotides long. RefSeq lists it as uncharacterized. The record is from RefSeq and is a predicted model, not a curated record. The transcript is spliced from 2 exons. NCBI's taxonomy places the organism in Eukaryota, Metazoa, Chordata, Lepidosauria, Squamata, Anolidae.